CUUGCGGGGUGUGGUGUCAUAAGCUCCAUGGUGGGUGAUCGUGCGGUGUGUUCAUCUAUUUACAAAGAGGACCCAAUUCAGCAAAAAGCUUGAAAUAUGAAAACCAUUUUGAAUGGUAAAGGGGUGCGAAGCUGAAAAUUUGCAUAAGUUCAUCUCUUUGCUUGACAGGGAAAUCAUCUUAAUUUUUUGUAGCUUCAAAUUGGUUUGAAUAAUAGUGGCCGCAGUUUCUCACUCAGGUUAAAAAGCCAUGGCAGAGAGAAGCCAUAUAAGCGCCAGGGGCAUCGAUGGGGAAAAUCCUAGGUUGUCAUCUUUGUGUUCAGUGGAAUCUGGCAGUAGUUGCUUCGCGUGUAAAUUUCCUGGUCCAAACUUUUUGAAGACAACUAGUGACUAUCAGAAUAUCACAGUUCAUUCUGUUACUCAAUGCUCUCCUUCACCUGUAAUCUCUUGCGUAGAAAAGCCUCAAAGUUCUAAUAUAUCACAAAUUACGGACGCAAAUACAGAACAUGGUCAGUCACAGUCUUCUAAUAAAUCAGCAUCAUCUGGGGUCCUGCGAGAUGUACAUAUUUCAGCUCAGUUAAUGGAAGAUUUCCUUGAUCUUGCUAAAGAAAACACGGAGAAGGAUCUAGAAACCUGCGGGAUUCUUGGCGCUUUUCUUAAAAAUGGAACAUUCUAUGUGACAACUCUGAUCAUACCCAAACAGGAAUCAACUUCCAGCUCUUGUCUGGCAACAAACGAUGAGGAAGCUUUUGCCAUUCAAAACGAACACUCACUUUUUCCGGUUGGAUGGAUCCAUACACAUCCUUCUCAAAGUUGUUUCAUGUCAUCAGUGGAUUUGCACACUCAUUAUUCGUACCAGGUUAUGAUACCCGAGGCUAUUGCCGUUGUCAUGGCUCCAACUGAUACCUCAAGUCAGCUGUCACAAACAAGCGUAAAAGGAAAUGAAGGAGAGAAUGCAGUAAUUUGGAAGCGUAUCCUUCUCUGCUCACCAGUUUCCCCUUGAAAAUUUGACCAGUACGCCAAACCACGUUGGUAGCGAAAUAAGAACCCCAUUGCAGAACUAAUUAAGUAUUCCAGUUGAAUAUCCAACUGCAUCUGCAUGAAUAUCUCAUGGUUCAUAUUUUGUACCGAAAAUGUUUCGAAAUGAGCUAUGGAAUAUUUCGGCUAUCUGAUCCUGGCGGGAUGAGUGUCCUGAAAGCGUGCCAGGAGCAAGGAUUUCAUCCUCACGGAGAAACAACAGACGGGAGUCCCGUUUUCGAGCACUGCUCUAAUGUAUACAAGAAUUCAAAUCUGAGGUUCGAAAUCUUCGACUUGCGUUGACAUAAUGCCUGUUUAGAAUUUGCAAGAAUUUGGCAAAGUGAAUCCUUGGAACAGAGCUUUGGAUAAGGUUUUUAUGACGUAAUAAUGUAGAUAAACCCUACCGUGACAGUAAUAUGUAAUAAAAGUAACCAACGGGAAAAAUGUAUCUGCAUAAUUAACCAGUGUAAAACUGUAAAUAACGUUUUGAAAUUAAGGAUGCGAAGAUGGAGCAAUACUUGAAGAUCAA
Molecule: non-coding RNA, 1543 nt
Organism: Malus domestica (apple)
Lineage: Eukaryota; Viridiplantae; Streptophyta; Magnoliopsida; Rosales; Rosaceae
Source: RefSeq, a predicted model, not a curated record